UUGUUAUUGGCGUUAUGUCACUCCAGUCCAGCUGUGAUCAAACAAACACCUUUAUGGCGUUCGAGUAGUCGAUUGGACGACAUGUCUUGACAAAUAGUUAAAUUGUUUCGGAUAUCUAGAUGGAUAUUUAAUUCGAUGACACACAAUAAAGCACCACCUUCCACAUGCAGUGACCCGAUGAAUCGUUGUUCGGCAAUUUGUGCUCGUUAGUGUCCAGAUGUUUCCCUGUACACUCGCAGAUUCUGUACACUUGCAGAUGUCCACAACAGUGUCAGGUGAGACGAGACAGAUUUGGUCAGAAUGUCGAAACUGACAAGUGCAAGGCUAUGGGGUAAUAUUUCUGAUGUAGCCGCAAACUGUUCAACAGACACUUCGGGAAAAUUCCAUAAAUGGCUCAAGGAACAGCAAAGUUUGCCAUAAAUGAACUAACAAGUAUCUGUGUAUUUCGUUUCUGAAAUAGAAAUAAAGUUCAAUGAUUGCUUAAUGUU
Molecule: long non-coding RNA, 488 nt
Organism: Octopus bimaculoides (California two-spot octopus)
Lineage: Eukaryota; Metazoa; Mollusca; Cephalopoda; Octopoda; Octopodidae
Source: RefSeq, a predicted model, not a curated record